UAGUCCCAGCCGUAAACGAUGGACACUAGGUGUGGGGGGAUCAUCCUUCCGUGCCGCAGCCAACGCAUUAAGUGUCCCGCCUGGGGAGUACGGCCGCAAGGCUAAAACUCAAAGGAAUUGACGGGGGCCCGCACAAGCAGCGGAGCAUGUGGCUUAAUUCGAAGCAACGCGAAGAACCUUACCAGGGCUUGACAUGUAGGUGAAGCGGCGGAAACGUCGUUGCCGAAAGGAGCCUACAC
Molecule: ribosomal RNA, 239 nt
Filed under: uncultured bacterium
Lineage: Bacteria
Description: partial 16S ribosomal RNA
Rfam family: Bacterial small subunit ribosomal RNA
Source: RNAcentral